This 292-nucleotide long non-coding RNA is filed under the name Bos taurus (domestic cattle). Its description in RNAcentral is "long non-coding RNA NONBTAT025141". Lineage: Eukaryota; Metazoa; Chordata; Mammalia; Artiodactyla; Bovidae. The record is from RNAcentral.
CCUCUCACAAUUUAAUUUUUGUACUGAAACGACCCCAUUUUGAUUAAUGAUUUUGGGAUCUACCCACCUAAAUAAGCUUAAAAUCAGUGAGUCAUCCUAGCCUUCUCUUCAGCAACCAAAUCUGCUUGUUUCUUUCUGCCUCCUUAACAUCUCCUGAAUCCAUUUCCUCUGUUCCAUUUUCAUUUCCACAAACUGUCAUGCUCUUGUAACUGCUAUCCCUGCCUCAGUUCUCAACUCUUCCUUACUCAGUCCAUCUUCCACCGUUCAGUGACCUCCUUUCUCAUCAUGUGCA